This is a long non-coding RNA of Triplophysa rosa, 2724 nucleotides long. RefSeq lists it as uncharacterized. NCBI's taxonomy places the organism in Eukaryota, Metazoa, Chordata, Actinopteri, Cypriniformes, Nemacheilidae. The transcript has 4 exons. The record is from RefSeq and is a predicted model, not a curated record.
AUUUGACAACUCAACAAAAGUGGGCGAUCGUAUCAAAUUAUAUAAGUCAAUGCGCCACGGCUGGCGGACGUGAGAACCAGGAUAUCCCUUUAAAUUUGAUCAAAUCACUAAACACGUCAGGUUUCUUUACAGAUGUCUCUAUAGCAACCGCUCGCGUGACCCUAUAGACCCGUGCGGUCAAGUGAGUCGAAAUUAUGACCAAUUAGCGCUUUCGUAACGAGUUAAGACAUGUGGCACACAUACAGGAAAUGACAUCAACGGGUCAAAACUAAAAAUAUGUCGCCUGAUGGACAGCCCGGGACACCCCGAACCUGGAUCUACGCAGGAUUCCUCAAAGCCGGUUUAUACACUUUUACCCUAAUAUGGUGGAUGAUGUGAUGAGAAUCUGAUCUGCAAUGGGAAUCGAACGUCACUUUCAUCCCGAGCAAGUUCAACGCAGACGACACACCUUUGUCCUGACGCCGUGGGCUCAUGGUUUCUGUGGAUGGGAAUACGUGGGACUGAUGGACUAAUGGAUUUAAAGAGUUAAUACGGGAGCCCAGCUCUUUCAUGCCCAUCUGUCAUGAGGUAGGCAUUCCAGUUUGGCUGCUGACCGCUGGCCCCACUGAGCUGGGGGGUCAGCACACCUCCGACGUUACUUCGCCUUGUGCUUCAUCCUCUACCACACCGGGGGCACCUGGCACCCCUCUAUGGCAGACCAGAUCAAUGGUAAGAACAAUUCGAGCAGAAUGACCAGAGGUCGGCAUCAAAGGCCCCCUGCUUGUCUCCCUGCCACCUGGAGCUCAGCGAGGGUCACGGGCCGCCCGGGCCACCACAGUCUCCUCUCCUCUUCAGCUGGCUGGGUAGCUGAGUGAGACCCAGGCAGGCUGAGAGGCGGCUCAGUGUUGGCCCAGCAGCCCACAUGGGGAGUGGGCCAGAGGUCAAGCCCAUCAGAGCACUCUGCUUCGUCUGAUGAGAGGAUCUGGUCUGGUUUUAAUGAGGCAACACUUGAUUCCGCAUCUCUUCACACACGACGCGGAAGGAGCAUCUCAACCAUUUCGAGGUAUAUUUAUUAUAAACGUGCAUUUUAUGAGUUUAAUUGUGCAAGUCAUUUACGUUUUAGUGUUUAUUUAAAAUUAUUAUAUUUCUGUACAUCUACAAAUGUUUCAUUUCAGUAGACAGUAGAUGGUAAAUUGUCGCUAAGCAUAUAUUUAUUCAUACAACAUUUCCAAUAUGAGCACUAUGGCUCUCUUCACCAAAAUGCUGGUCAUAUGGUGAAAGAACAGGCAAUUAUUUUCAUGCAGCUGUCAAUACUCUGAACAGGCUAAUGCCGUCUAAUUAAAUGCAAUUUCUCGGGCCACUAAUGAAAAUGAACAACUCUGAGGGGUUUUUAAUAUCGCUGCGAAGCUUUUCAACUUCCGCAGUCGAUGAAUCGAUGCUUCUGUGUCCCUUUACUUCUGCGAUGAGGGACGAAAGGGGCUGCGAUGAGAAAGACAUACACAGACAGAGAGAAAAAAGGCAAGUUUGGCAAGUAGAAGAGUGAAGGGGGAGACAGAUGGCGUGAAGUCUGCAUCUCUUUGGCGUUGGACGCAUGGCGCUAAAAUCCUCCCUCUCACACAUUCCAACAAAUCCAACCAGGAGGCUCAGGAGUAUGUUCCACUGCUCUCGAAAUGAAGCAUCUGACCAGGAUAGAGCCACACGCUCUUUCUCACUGUCUUUCACACACACACAUGCAUGUUCGCGCACAUACAUUCACACACUGUCAGCCACCCGUAACCUAUCCAGAAGUUUACAUUUUUAUUAGUAUGUCACCCAUUGCGGAGUUUAUUGGCUUGUUAAAGUAGGAAGCUUUGAGAGCUUGGGAGAGGGAACAUGGGGCCAUGACUGGAAAUAUUGCAGCAGAGAAAAAGAGACCAAGUGCCAUUCAAGUGUAAAAUCUCAUUGAGUAAACAUGGGGCCAAGGCAUGGAAACAAAGUGUGUACAAUCCAUUUGCGGAAGAAAAAAUAAGGAGCUUUGCGGUUCGUCACACUAGCCUCGUUGCGUUGCUUGCCAGAUAGUCUCCGCCGUUCAAGUUGUACAUGAUCUUUUUAAUUAGCUUCUCGAAAGUACAUUUGAGUACAUCUAGUUGAAACAAACAUUGGCAUAUUCUGCAAUGAUCUAUAUGAAUGGCUCUGUUUAGUGCCUCGCAAAGCUUUAUUUUAACCUAUAACUAUAUUUUAUUUGUCAUUUAGCAGAAAUGUACCGCUAAUAGCUGUCGACAUAUAAAACGACCAUGUGUUCCUCCUGUCAGCCAGAUGCAAAAGGCACAGAUGGGAUUUUUUCCAAAUGGAGCUCUUGAUAGCAGACAAUUAAUGUGGCUUUGAUUGCGCUCUACAGUACUCUCCCAUUGAUUCUGGAAAAUGUAUUCAUCGAAGGCAUAUGAUCAGCCUCGGAUGAAUCUUGUCAGAUGUGCCAAAUCACAAAUUAAACGCUUUAGUGCCUCUCCCUCCAACCUCCAGGGCUGAGAGCUCCUGCAUGACACUCUUUCUUCCUCCCUCUCUCUCUCUCUCUCUCUCUCUCUCUCUCUCUCUCUCUCUGGCUCUUUCUCUAUCUCUCUCGCUCACUCUCUAGAUGGAUGGCUGAGUUCUGCCUUCUGUUUGCACUGCCAUACUAAUGAAUGAGUCAGCUGGGAAUAUGUAAUACUGUGAAAAGGUCACCGGAGGCAUGUGUAUCACAUUACUGUUAAUGAUAAUAAAAAGAACAAU